CUUGAAUUUCACUAAACACAGCAUUUUUGUAGUAAUGGUGUAUAAUAGAGAAUGUACAUGCCAGUGGGGGAUCCGGGGAGGGGGGGGGCAAUUGCCCCAACAAACUGCACCCCUCACACACUGACCCUCCUCACACACACACACCGCCCCCACACAUUGCACCCCUCACACACACACACUGCCCCCCAUACACACACUGCCUCCCACACACAUACUGC
Non-coding RNA from Pelobates cultripes (western spadefoot toad), 218 nucleotides. NCBI's taxonomy places the organism in Eukaryota, Metazoa, Chordata, Amphibia, Anura, Pelobatidae. The record is from the annotation of a GenBank genome assembly.